This 74-nucleotide transfer RNA is filed under the name Ignavibacteriaceae bacterium. RNAcentral's name for it is "tRNA-Ala". It matches the Rfam family "tRNA". From Rfam's summary of the family: Transfer RNA (tRNA) molecules are approximately 80 nucleotides in length. Their secondary structure includes four short double-helical elements and three loops (D, anti-codon, and T loops). Lineage: Bacteria; Pseudomonadati; Ignavibacteriota; Ignavibacteria; Ignavibacteriales; Ignavibacteriaceae. The record is from RNAcentral.
GGGGCUAUAGCUCAGUUUGGUAGAGCGCUUGAAUGGCAUUCAAGAGGCCAGGAGUUCGAACCUCCUUAGCUCCA